Molecule: long non-coding RNA, 319 nt
Organism: Agrilus planipennis (emerald ash borer)
Lineage: Eukaryota; Metazoa; Arthropoda; Insecta; Coleoptera; Buprestidae
Exons: 3
Source: RefSeq, a predicted model, not a curated record
ACAGAAGUCUUCCAUCCUGCUACUGUGAAGGAGGAGGAUUAAGCGUCCUUAUUCCCUUACUGAGAGAAAACAGGCAGAAGGACUUCAACCAUAAUGGGAUGUCGCAGAAGUUAUUGGUCUUCCAUCCUACUACUGUGAAGGAGGAGGAUUCGGCGUCCUUAUUCCCUGGCUGAGAGGAAACUGGCAAAAGGACUUCGACCAUAAUGGAGGACCAUCAUCAGGACCAUCCGCGGGACUUCGAUCGGGAGUAUCGCGUCGGGAGUGUUCUGGAGCGUCCAGAUUCGAACUUCGAAGUCGCCAAUACCCGGAAUCUCGGAAU